CACCUGGUAAUAACAUGGUUAUAACUUGGUUAUUACCUGGUUAUAACCUGAGACAUUUCCUGGUUAUAACCUGGUUAUAAUCUCGUUAUAACCUGAGACAUUAC
Molecule: non-coding RNA, 104 nt
Organism: Xyrichtys novacula (pearly razorfish)
Lineage: Eukaryota; Metazoa; Chordata; Actinopteri; Labriformes; Labridae
Source: the annotation of a GenBank genome assembly